GACAGAGGGUGCAAACGUUGCUCGGAAUUACUGGGUGUAAAGCGCGUGUAGGCUGACCGGAAAGUCGGGCGUGAAAUCCCUGAGCUCAACUCAGGAACUGCACUCGAAACUCUCGGUCUAGAGUGGUGGAGAGGGAAGUGGAAUUCCUGGUGUAGAGGUGAAAUUCGUAGAUAUCCGGAGGAACACCGGUGGCGAAGGCGGCUUCCUGGACCGACACUGACGCUGAGGCGCGAAAGCUAGGGGAGCAAACGGG
RNAcentral lists this ribosomal RNA (253 nucleotides) under uncultured bacterium. RNAcentral describes it as "partial 16S ribosomal RNA". It matches the Rfam family "Bacterial small subunit ribosomal RNA", at positions 524 to 776 of the family's 1533-position model. The record is from RNAcentral.